RNAcentral lists this long non-coding RNA (2028 nucleotides) under Marmota monax (woodchuck). Lineage: Eukaryota; Metazoa; Chordata; Mammalia; Rodentia; Sciuridae. The record is from RNAcentral.
CUUGCUUGCUAACUGGAAAAUCCCAGUCCUGCUUAGGGCUGAAGGUUCCACUUACUGUUGUUUCAAUCUCUGUGAUUGGCUUAUCUGCAUGUCGCCGAGGAAAGCCCCUGAGUUGUGGUUUCCAUCUUGAAGUUCCCAGGAUACAGGCCGGGAAGCUGCUGUUCUCCACAGAGCUUCAGUAUCUAGGGUGGGUGACAGUCCCUGACCAGGUAAAUAAAGCUCUCAUUGAUUUGAAUUUGGACUUUGUGUUUUCUGAAGUGGCUCCCCAUAACAGCCCCACCGUCCUUUUAACAAAGAGACUAGUGCACGCUCUUAACUGGGGGGUGUCCUGAUGCUCACCUGAAGUUUCUCUGAGCACCACUGAGUACCUAGCAUUAGGUACUCAGUUGAGAGGUCCAAAGUUCAAGGAGGAAGCCCAACUUCCAAGUGUUGGUUGAGAUGUUAUCAUGCUACAUAAAUGGUUUUCCAGAAGCUUAGGUUUGUUUCUCUUGCUAUCCUAGAAGGACAGGCAUAAAAUACACUCUGCUGCGACUAAUGCUGUAGAUGGACAGUUAGCUGACACAGGAUGAGCCGACUGAGACAGUCAAUCAGAGAUUACAGAAAUGAGGAAAAUAGCACGGCCCAGUGGGGCGAGUCAGCUGAGACGGAGAAUGGAUCCAACAACCAACUGGAGCCCAGGCAGCAGUUUAUGUGGGUAGGUACACCAAGGGGGUCAGCGUGAGGAACUGCUUCAGGAAAACAGGAUGAAGGUGGCAAAACCACUUGUUUGGGGCUUAGCAGGUCACACCCACCUCCUUUCUACCUCCAGGUGGGCCGUGUUUGAACCUAGGGCUGUCUGAGCCAAGGCAGGGUGUCCAUUGGUGGAAUUUCACCUUGAGUUCCCACAAAAGAAACUCCCCUGCCUUGUGAUGGUGCAAACAAACCCACAAUUCAUAUAUGGUCUCAGACAUGUGUAUGUGACAUAAAAAUGUCAUUUCAUCAAUCUGUUCUUGUUUCUUCUUAACAUGUUUCCAUGAGUCUUCUCAUUUAUGAUCAUCACUCUGCUCUGAAAUAUUUUCAAACAUUCACACUUUAAAUUGACAUUAAUAUUCCCUAUUUUUUCUAAAUUAUAGGUCAAAUAAACUUGGGUAAAAAUUAGACUCUACCAUUUACUGAAUAUUUGAUCAAAUGUCAUAAAAGAUGAAUACCAUUACUGCUAUUGCAUUCUUUUGGAUUUCUGCAUUAGGACAUGAAAAACUCAUAUAGUGAGAAGUAUACAUUUGAAAUGAUCAAAAAAGAUUGAUGUUGAUAGUUGCUAUUUUAAUAAAAGAACAUAAAUCCUUUAAAAUAUUUUAACUCAAAUUCAUCAAGAACUUUUUUCUAAACUGGUUUUUCUCAUUGUUAUUCAACAGUUUCUUGUGGAUCACUGGCACUAGGAUCACUAGAUUGGAAUUACUGCUACAUAUUCAGAAAAUCAGAUUCCAUCCCAAAAACACUGGACGAGAGUCUGUAUUUUAGUAAAUCUCUUGAUUCAUGGUUGUGGAUUCAAAUUUUGAGAAUCACCCUUUUUACUUACCAUAACUUUCUUAUCUGAGAAAUAGACAAUUUAUCUUAUAAUUUUAAAAUCACAAAGUGUAUAUUCUUGUGUUGAUGCCUUAAUUUUACAUCUUAUUUCAUGAUAGUGAUAUCAAUACCUUGGUUUUUUGACUCUCAACACUCUUUCCUCAGAGUUAGAUAAUAGAGAUUAUUACUUUGUUACAAUGUAUUUUCUUGUAUAAUUAAAGUCACUAAUCUACUUGAGAGCCAGUUCUACUAAAUUUCAUUUCAUCUUCAGAGAACUUAAAAGCUCUGUGAAUGAUGAUAUGGUCAAUGUGAUAUUAAUUUGACUAAUACUAUUUUAGGAACUGUUGACAUUCAGGGAUGUGGUCAUUGAUUUCUCUGAAGAGGAGUGGGAAUGCCUGGAGCCUGCUCAGCAGAAUUUAUACAGAGAUGUGAUGCUAGAGACCUACAGAAACCUGGUCUUCCUGGGUGAGCAGAACUUCUCUUCAG